ACCUGGCUGACUCAGUCGGUGGAGCAGGUGACUCCUGAUCUCAGGGUUGUGGGUUCAAGCCCCACGUUGGGUG
RNAcentral lists this transfer RNA (73 nucleotides) under Felis catus (domestic cat). It matches the Rfam family "tRNA". Rfam says of the family: Transfer RNA (tRNA) molecules are approximately 80 nucleotides in length. Their secondary structure includes four short double-helical elements and three loops (D, anti-codon, and T loops). RNAcentral also lists the same sequence under 4 other names. Lineage: Eukaryota; Metazoa; Chordata; Mammalia; Carnivora; Felidae. The record is from Rfam by way of RNAcentral.